GACGAACGCUGGCGGCGUGCUUAACACAUGCAAGUCGAACGGAAAGGCCCCUUUGGGGGUCCUCGAGUGGCGAACGGGUGAGUAACACGUGAGUAACCUGCCCUUGACUUCGGGAUAACUUCAGGAAACUGGGGCUAAUACCGGAUAGGAAUCCUUGCUGCAUGGUGGGGGUUGGAAAGCUUCGGCGGUUUUGGAUGGACUCGCGGCUUAUCAGCUUGUUGGUGGGGUAGUGGCUUACCAAGGCUUUGACGGGUAGCCGGCCUGAGAGGGCGACCGGCCACAUUGGGACUGAGAUACGGCCCAGACUCCUACGGGAGGCAGCAGGGGGGAAUAUUGCACAAUGGGCGGAAGCCGGAUGCAGCAACGCCGCGGGCGGGAGGACGGCCUUCGGGUUGGAAACCGCUUUCAGCAGGGGCGAAGCUUGUGGUGACGGUACCUGCAGAAGAAGCACCGGCUAACUACGUG
This 465-nucleotide ribosomal RNA is filed under the name uncultured bacterium. RNAcentral's name for it is "partial 16S ribosomal RNA". It matches the Rfam family "Bacterial small subunit ribosomal RNA", at positions 28 to 507 of the family's 1533-position model. The record is from RNAcentral.